This 86-nucleotide small nucleolar RNA is filed under the name Sciurus vulgaris (Eurasian red squirrel). RNAcentral's name for it is "Small nucleolar RNA SNORD105 (ENSSVLG00005019811.1)". It matches the Rfam family "Small nucleolar RNA SNORD105". From Rfam's summary of the family: U105 belongs to the C/D family of snoRNAs. Lineage: Eukaryota; Metazoa; Chordata; Mammalia; Rodentia; Sciuridae. The record is from Rfam by way of RNAcentral.
CCCCCAUCUCGCGUGAUGAAACCCUGUGCCCCUGAGCUACCAUGAUUCUGGCUUCAAAGUAAACGCUCUGAAGAGAUAAGGCAAGG